GCCUAAUACAUGCAAGUCGAACGCAAUCUUUGACUAAUGAGUGCUUGCACUCAGCGGUCAAAGUGCGAGUGGCGAACGGGUGAGUAACACGUGGGCAAUCUGCCCAAAAGUGGGGGAUAACACUUGGAAACAGGUGCUAAUACCGCAUCAACCGGCUGACCGCAUGGUCGGCCGGGCAAAGACGGCGUCAGCUGUCGCUUUUGGAUGAGCCCGCGGCGUAUUAACUAGUUGGUAAGGUAACGGCUUACCAAGGUGAUGAUACGUAGCCGAACUGAGAGGUUGAUCGGCCACAUUGGGACUGAGACACGGCCCAAACUCCUACGGGAGGCAGCAGUAGGGAAUCUUCCACAAUGGACGCAAGUCUGAUGGAGCAACGCCGCGUGUAUGAAGAAGGUCUUCGGAUCGUAAAAUACUGUUGUCAGAGAAGAACACGUGAUAGAGUAACUGCUAUGGCGCUGACGGUAUCUGACCAGCAAGUCACGGCUAACUACGUGCCAGCAGCCGCGGUAAUACGUAGGUGGCAAGCGUUGUCCGGAUUUAUUGGGCGUAAAGGGAACGCAGGCGGUCUUUUAAGUCUGAUGUGAAAGCCUUCGGCUUAACCGGAGAAGUGCAUUGGAAACUGGAAGACUUGAGUGCAGAAGAGGAGAGUGGAACUCCAUGUGUAGCGGUGAAAUGCGUAGAUAUAUGGAAGAACACCAGUGGCGAAAGCGGCUCUCUGGUCUGUAACUGACGCUGAGGUUCGAAAGCGUGGGGAGCGAACAGGAUUAGAUACCCUGGUAGUCCACGCUGUAAACGAUGAAUGCUAGGUGUUGGAGGGUUUCCGCCCUUCGGUGCCGCAGCUAACGCACUAAGCAUUUCCGCCUGGGGAGUCCGAUCGCAAGAAUUGAAACUCAGGGGAAUUGACGGGGGCCCGCACCAGCGGGGGAGCAUGUGGUUAAAUUCGAAGCAACGCGAAAGAACCCUACCAGGUUCUGAACUUCUUUUUGACCAUCCGGAGAAGAUCAGAAAAUUCCCUCGGGGGACAAAAAAGAACGGGGGGUGCAUGGCUGUCCUCCA
RNAcentral lists this ribosomal RNA (1056 nucleotides) under uncultured Lactobacillus sp. RNAcentral describes it as "bacterial SSU rRNA". It matches the Rfam family "Bacterial small subunit ribosomal RNA", at positions 46 to 1058 of the family's 1533-position model. The record is from RNAcentral. Lineage: Bacteria; Bacillati; Bacillota; Bacilli; Lactobacillales; Lactobacillaceae.